RNAcentral lists this ribosomal RNA (253 nucleotides) under uncultured bacterium. RNAcentral's name for it is "partial 16S ribosomal RNA". It matches the Rfam family "Bacterial small subunit ribosomal RNA", at positions 524 to 776 of the family's 1533-position model. The record is from RNAcentral.
GACGUAGGGCGCGAGCGUUGUCCGGAUUUAUUGGGCGUAAAGAGCUCGUAGGCGGCUUGUCGCGUCGUCCGUGAAAACCUGCAGCUCAACUGCAGGCUUGCGGUCGAUACGGGCAGGCUGGAGUUCGGUAGGGGAGACUGGAAUUCCUGGUGUAGCGGUGAAAUGCGCAGAUAUCAGGAGGAACACCGGUGGCGAAGGCAGCUCUUUGGGACGGUACUGACGCUGAGACGCGAAAGCGUGGGGAGCGAACAGG